This 380-nucleotide ribosomal RNA is filed under the name uncultured eukaryote. RNAcentral describes it as "partial 18S ribosomal RNA". It matches the Rfam family "Eukaryotic small subunit ribosomal RNA", at positions 592 to 976 of the family's 1831-position model. The record is from RNAcentral.
CAAUAGCGUAUAUUAAAGUUGUUGCGGUUAAAACGCUCGUAGUUGGAUUUCUGUUGAGGGCAGCCGGUCCGCACUUCGUGCGUGUAUCUGGUUUGACCUCGGCAUCCUCUCAAAAUACGUUUCUGCGCUUGAUUGCGUGGAGCGGAGUUUGAGACUUUUACUUUGAGGAAAUUAGAGUGUUCACGGCAGGCAAUCGCCUUGAAUAUAUUAGCAUGGAAUAAUAAUAUAGGAUCUUGGUUCUAUUUUGUUGGUUUCUAGAGCUAAGAUAAUGAUUAAUAGGGACAAUUGGGGGCAUUCGUAUUAACGCGUCAGAGGUGGAAUUCUUGGAUUGCGUUACGACGAACUACUGCGAAAGCAUUUGCCAAGGAUGUUUUCAUUGA